This 370-nucleotide ribosomal RNA is filed under the name uncultured eukaryote. RNAcentral describes it as "partial 18S ribosomal RNA". It matches the Rfam family "Eukaryotic small subunit ribosomal RNA", at positions 592 to 976 of the family's 1831-position model. The record is from RNAcentral.
CAAUAGCGUAUAUUAAAGUUGUUGCAGUUAAAAAGCUCGUAGUUGGAUUUCUGGUCGGAAGCUCCUGUCCUCUGAUGAGCGUACAAGUGCGUCCUACCAUCCUUCUGUUAACCUUUAAGGCUUUCGCGGCUUUCUAGGGGCUCAGAUAUUUUACCUUGAGAAAAUUAGAGUGCUUCAGGCAGGCUAGCGCCGGAAUACAUUAGCAUGGAAUAAUGGAAUAGGACUUUUGCCUCUUCUGUUGGUCAUGAGGCUCGAGUAAUGAUUAAUAGGGAUAGUUGGGGGCAUUAGUACUUAACUGUCAGAGGUGAAAUUCUCGGAUUUGUUAAAGACUAACUUAUGCGAAAGCAUUUGCCAAGGAUGUUUUCAUUAA